RNAcentral lists this transfer RNA (76 nucleotides) under Propionibacteriaceae bacterium ES.041. RNAcentral's name for it is "tRNA-Thr". It matches the Rfam family "tRNA". Rfam says of the family: Transfer RNA (tRNA) molecules are approximately 80 nucleotides in length. Their secondary structure includes four short double-helical elements and three loops (D, anti-codon, and T loops). The record is from RNAcentral. Lineage: Bacteria; Bacillati; Actinomycetota; Actinomycetes; Propionibacteriales; Propionibacteriaceae.
GCCGCCUUAGCUCAGUAGGUAGAGCAACGCACUCGUAAUGCGUAGGUCGGGGGUUCGACUCCCCCAGGCGGCUCCC